This 2187-nucleotide ribosomal RNA is filed under the name Triticum aestivum (bread wheat). Its description in RNAcentral is "partial small subunit ribosomal RNA". Lineage: Eukaryota; Viridiplantae; Streptophyta; Magnoliopsida; Poales; Poaceae. The record is from RNAcentral.
AUGGAUUUAGAUAAAAUCAUAUCUCGGCCUAACAUAGAAAAGACAAUGUUCACAGAAUGGAUGACAGCCAACCAAUUGCAUGAGGAAGCUCGCAGUUUGACGUAUGCACGGUUUCCAACCAAAUGGACUUGGCAUGCAAAAGAGAAAGAAUGGAGGAAAAGACGUGGUGGUAAAAAAACCAUAGGCAGGAUUUACUAUGCACAACCAACAAGCGGUGAAAAAUACUACUUGAGAAUGCUUCUAAAUACCGUGAAAGGACACAGAUCCUAUGAAGAAAUCCGAACAGUUGAUGGGGUUGUACAUCCAACAUACAAAUCUGCAUGUUAUGCUCUUGGGCUACUUAAUGACGACAAGGAGUGGGAUGACUGCAUCAAGGAAGCAUCCCAUUGGGCCUCUGCUCCUCAAAUGCGCCAACUUUUCUGCACAAUACUUUUAUUUUGCGAGGUGACUGAUCCUGCAAAGUUGUGGCAAACAAACUGGGAGUUACUAUCUGAGGACAUCCAACGUCGGCAAAGAAGAAUACUCAAUUUUCAGGCCCUAGAACUCAACUCAUUGCAAAUAAAGAGCCUCCUCUUGGCAGAGAUCGAACACCUAUUGGCUAAAGGUGGUAAGUCCCUCAAAGAUUUUCCAGGAAUGCCACUACCAGAUAGUUCGAUUCUUCAAGAUAUAAAUAAUAGAUUAGUAAAUGAGGAACUAAACUACGAUAAAGAUUCUUUAAGAAUAGAGCACACAGAGUUACUACAAAGGCUAAAUCAAGAUCAGAGGAUAGCUUUUGAUGUUAUAAUAGAAUCAGUUAGCAGCAGUUGUGGAAAACUGAUUUUCGUUGACGGAUAUGGUGGAACUGGAAAGACAUUUCUGUGGAAAGCAGUCACGACAAAAUUAAGAUCCGAAGGAAAAAUAGUUCUAGCAGCAGCUUCAAGUGGUAUAGCAGCACUUCUUUUACAGGGCGGAAGAACAGCUCAUUCAAGAUUUCACAUUCCGCUCAAAAUCACAAACGAGUCAACAUGCGACAUCAAGCAAGGAACAUUUCUCGCGGAACUAAUAAAGAAAACUUCACUGAUAAUAUGGGAUGAAGCACCUAUGACACACAAGCACUGUUUUGAGGCACUAGACAAGAGUUUGAGAGACAUACUUCGAUUCACAAAUGAGGAUGCCGAGCAUAGACCAUUUGGAGGAAUGACAGUAGUCUUGGGAGGUGACUUCAGACAAAUCCUACCAGUUAUACCAAAGGGGAAAAGGGAACAUAUCAUUUCGGCAUCUAUAAAGAGAUCCUACCUAUGGAAGAACUUUGAGGAGUACCGACUCACAGAAAAUAUGCGUCUGAAUUCAUCCGAAGGUAGUCCAGAAGAGAAAGCAAAGACAGCUGAAUUUGCAAACUGGAUACUAAACAUCGGCGAUGGCACAACAGCAACAAUAGAUGAUGAAGACUGGGUUAGCAUCCCAGAAGACCUUAUUUUAAAUAAAGGAGAUGACCCAAAAGCAUCUAUAGUUAAUAACACUUACCCUGAAUUACACAACAAGUACACUGAUAGAACAUACCUAGAGGAAAGAGCGAUCCUGUGCCCAAGGAACGAGACUGUUGACCAGAUUAACACCUACAUCAUGAGUCAAAUUCCUGGAGAAGAGGUAACCUAUCUCAGUUCAGAUACAACAUGCAAGGCAAUGUCUACGGUGGAAGACGAAGAUAUGUUGUACCCAACUGAAUUUCUAAAUAGUCUAACAUUUUCUGGAAUACCAGAUCAUGAACUGAGGCUGAAAAUAGGAUUACCAGUAAUGCUUAUGAGGAACAUCAAUCAAAGUGCAGGACUUUGCAAUGGGACAAGACUAACAAUAACGCAGCUAGGAAAGCGUUUCAUCGAAGGCCAGGUCAUAACAGGUACUAACAUUGGUGACAAAGUUUACAUCCCACGAAUUAUUAUGUCACCAAGUGAUUCAAAAUGGCCUUUCAUUCUGAAAAGGAGACAAUACCCAAUAUCAGUGUGCUUUGCUAUGACAAUAAACAAAAGUCAGGGGCAAUCUCUCAAAAAGAUUGGACUCUACUUAGAAAGGCAAGUGUUCACACAUGGCCAACUCUAUGUUGCAAUGUCAAGGGUUACCAGCAGAAAUGGAUUGCGGAUACUUAUAUCAGAUGAAGAGCGUCCAUCCGACAAGGUUGCAAAAAACAUUGUUUACAAGGAUAUAUUAUAG